Molecule: long non-coding RNA, 1659 nt
Organism: Lynx canadensis (Canada lynx)
Lineage: Eukaryota; Metazoa; Chordata; Mammalia; Carnivora; Felidae
Exons: 3
Source: RefSeq, a predicted model, not a curated record
CUGCGGCCCCUUUAAGACCUGCCCGCUUCCUCUUCCUUUUCCUCCCUCCGCCCCUUUCUAUCGGCGCGUACCAAAACGCAGAGGGAGGAGGGGGGCAAGGAACCCAUGACGCCGAGGAGGGAACCGAGAAGGAGAGGUCAAAAGAAAAGGAGGCCCAGAGGAACUGCUUCUAUUCUUCUCUCUCCGGAGGGUAUAGCUUCCUGGAGACGAAGACACGGAGAAAAUAUUCCGCCCUCCUAGACCUACGCGUCCCUGAGAUACAAGGUUUCAUUAUCCCGUUCUGAGGAAUUCCUGACCCAGAUCAGCACAGAACUUACUGAUGAGGCCUUGUUUACCGCUGGCUACGGCACGAACCCUGUGCCCACCAAGGAAAAACAGACCCAAGACCGAGGGACUCAGAUAUCCAAACACGGUGACCCCACCUCCAGGACCACUGUGUCCAGAGACCCCACCAUACCCCUAGUUCCAAUCCCUGACCCCUCCCAACCACAGCUGAGCUCUCCAGCAAUCUCACAUCUCACAGCCCUCCCUGGGACUGCUUAGUGCUUCCCCGCACAACUCACCCGGUACCCACUCCCCACUGCUGGCCAGGAAUCACCUCAGCCCCUUCCUCUCUAGCCACAUCUCUUUCUGGCUAGAGGGGUAGGAAAUUCUCUGACUGGGGCUUCUACUUCUAGUGUUCUUCAAGACCCGAGGCACCGACACCCACACCCGGUGAGUAAAUCUUCAAUGGAGAUGCCCUUUGUCCUGGGAAAAGGAUAAGGAGCCUGGAGGGGAGAGAGGGAGGGUUUGACAACAUCCUAGCGGGGCAGGGGGAUUUUUAAACCGGGAAGUCCGAUUCUCUUCUGGUCUGAUCCUCAAAUUCAGACUUCUCAGCCCUCCCCUUUCCGUCCGCCAUCUCUAGUUCUGACAGAAACCGUACCCGCACCAAGACCCACCUCCUGCCAUCCCCUCGUGACAAGAACGUGCAUCAGAGCUCCUCUUUCACGAGUCAUUAACACUUCACUUUGCUGGGACUUCUGGUCAUGAGCAACAUACCCCUGGAAGCUUCCUAGGUGUUCAGGAACCAUCACACACCUCUCCCCCUCAACUGGCAAGAACAUCACCAGAAAUCAAAGGCUUUAAUAAAAAGACAGAGGUCCUUCCCUCCUCCCAACCCAGGUCAUGCUCUGCAGUGACUUCUCUGGGGUGGGGCUAUGAGAGGGUGGCCCUAUCUCUUCCUUCCUUCCUUCCUUCCUUCCUUCCUUCCUUCCUUCCUUCCUUCCUUCCUUCUUUCCUUCCUUCCUUCGUCUCCUCCCCCCUCCUCCUGCUCCUUUUUUUGUUUUGCCAGAUGUGUGGGCAUAUUGGUGGACAGGAAUAUUCCAUAUUAUUGGAAUGGCUUUAAUAUAGGCAGUCAACAAACUGUUAUCAGUCAACCUGUUGGCAGAGAUGAGUUCAUGGAUCCAAACCCAGCCUCCUAGCCAAGCUCCAACAGCUUAAGGUCUAGGCCUCUGGCAUCUGAGAAGAUACACCCUUGCUUCUGGCAUCUGAGGAGCUUCUCUGCCACUAAUGGCAGUGCUGAGGCCUCCCCUCCAAGCUCUGGGGCCUCAUGCCUAGGGGAACAGGUCACACUCAUUAUAGCCAGCUUUGUAGAGUUUGCAUUUAAAUCUGAGUGGGGGG